AGUGAGGAGAUUGUAGAUCCUGAGAACGUCUGGAACGUUAUUCCCAGCUGGGCUGGCAGAUCGCCUGAGAGAACUACUCAUGUGACAGAAGACGUGCUGUCCCUGCCUGAGGAACCCUUACUUCAAGAAGAGCAAAGUGGUUGCAGUUCAGCUAGAUCUGAAGAUUCCCAUGUUCUCCAGCCUUUCUGAAAGAGGACUUAUUUAGCACAUGGAGUGUAAUAAGUCUCUGUAUGCACAUCCAUUCCCACCAAAAUGGGUUUUUUAGGAAAUAUACAACCAAGGCACUUGGGUGUUCUACGUAACUGAGCACAUGCCUGGUACUGCCACGCUUCCUUGUCAUGAAUAGUGCUUGGUGGGAGACUGGUGCUGUCUGUUGGGCGUGUUAAAAUUGUGCUUUAAUCAAACAAUGUGCCUCUUGACAUGCAUCCCUUACUGAAUGCUGGUGUGGCACUUACUUAUGCCUAGCUGAUAGUGGGUUCUUGAUGAAAAGCUUCCCGUGAGCUGCUGUGGUGAUAUUUGCUGUUGCAUUGUUUUGGUUUUGUUUCUUUAGGUUCAGGAAAAUUCAGAGUAUUUUUGAGGGAAGUUUUUUCCUCUGUAUAGAAAUGAAGUUGUUCAGGGCUGACGCCUCGCAUUUUGUGUCAUUACAAAGCAAUUAAGAAGCUGGAAUAAAGCUUGUGCUGGCAAAUGCUGUUCA
RNAcentral lists this long non-coding RNA (694 nucleotides) under Chrysolophus pictus (golden pheasant). RNAcentral's name for it is "lncRNA (ENSCPIG00010014699.1)". Lineage: Eukaryota; Metazoa; Chordata; Aves; Galliformes; Phasianidae. The record is from RNAcentral.